UACGUAGGGUGCAAGCGUUGUCCGGAUUUAUUGGGUUUAAAGGGUGCGUAGGCGGCUCGUUAAGUCAGUGGUGAAAUACAACAGCUCAACUGUUGAUGUGCCAAUGAUACUGACAGGCUUGAGUACAGAUGAGGUGGGCGGAAUGUGUCAUGUAGCGGUGAAAUGCAUAGAUAUGACACAGAACACCAAUUGCGAAGGCAGCUCACUAAGCUGUAACUGACGCUGAGGCACGAAAGCGUGGGGAUCAAACAGG
This 253-nucleotide ribosomal RNA is filed under the name uncultured bacterium. RNAcentral's name for it is "partial 16S ribosomal RNA". It matches the Rfam family "Bacterial small subunit ribosomal RNA", at positions 524 to 776 of the family's 1533-position model. The record is from RNAcentral.